Molecule: ribosomal RNA, 2862 nt
Filed under: Salmonella enterica subsp. enterica
Lineage: Bacteria; Pseudomonadati; Pseudomonadota; Gammaproteobacteria; Enterobacterales; Enterobacteriaceae
Description: 23S ribosomal RNA
Rfam family: Bacterial large subunit ribosomal RNA
Source: RNAcentral
GAUUUAACGACAAGCGUACACGGUGGAUGCCACGUGAUAGAGGCGAUGAAGGGGAGCGUGCUAAUCUGCGAUAAGCGCCGGUAGGUGAUAUGAACCGUUGCCAACCGGCGAUACCCGAAUGGGAAGCAGUGUGACUCGUCACACUAUCAUUAACUGAAUCCAUAGGUUAAUGAGGCGAACAGGGAACUGAAACAUCUAGUACCCCGAGGAAAGAAAUCAACCGAAGAUUCCCCAGUAGCGGCGAGCGAGCAGGGAGAGCCCAGAGCCUGAGUCAGCAUGUGUGUUAGUGGAAGCGUCUGGAAAGGCGCGCGAUACAGGAGUGACAGCCCCGUACACAAAAGCGCAUGUGCUGUGAGCUCGUGGUAGGGCGGGACACGUGGUAUCGCAAUGUCACGAAUAUGGGACCAUCCUCCCAGGCUAAGCCUCUGACUGACCGAUAGUGAACCAGUACCGUGAGGGAAAGGCGAAAAGAACCCCGGCGAGGGGUGAAAAAACCUGAAACCGUGUACGUACAAGCAGUGGGAGCACCCUUCGGGGUGUGACUGCGUACCUUUGUAUAAUGGGUCAGCGACAUAUUCUGCCAGCAAGGUUAACCGAAUAGGGAGCGGAGAAACCGAGUCUUAAUUGGGCGUUAAGUUGCAGGGUAUAGGCCGAAACCCGGUGAUCUAGCCAUAUGGGCAGGUUGAAGGUUGGGUAACACUAACUGGAGGACCGAACCGACUAAUGUUGAAAAAAUUAGCUGUGGAUGACCUGUGGCUGGGGUGAAAGGCCAAUCAAACCGGGAGAUAGCUGGUUCUCCCGAAAGCUAUUUAGGUAGCGCCUCGUAGACUCAUCUCGGGGUAGAGCACUGUUUCGGCUGGGGGCCAUCGGCUUACCAACCCGAUGCAAACUGCGAAUACGGAGGAAUGUUAUGCAGGAGACACACGGCGGGUGCUAACGUCCCGUCGUGAAGAGCUAGCAGACCGCCAGCUAGGUCCCAAAGUCAUGGUUAAGUGGGAAACGAUGUGGGGAAGGCCCAGACAGCGGGGAUGAUGUUGGCAAGCAGCCAUCAUUUAAAGCGUAAUAGCUCACUGGUCGGUCGGCCUGCGCGGAAGAUGUAACGGGCUAAACCAUGCACCGAAAGCUGCGGCAUUUUCAGCUGUUGUUGGGUAGGGAAGCGUUCUGCAGCCUGUGAGUGGCCUGUGAGGUUGCUGGAAGUAUCAGAAGUGCGAAUGCUGACGCAAAGCCAACGAUAAAGCGGGUGAAAAGCCUUCCGCCGGAAACCAAGGGUUCCUGUCCAGCAUUAAUCGGGAGGGCAGGGUAGUCAGCCCUAAGGCGAGGCCGAGAGGCGUAGUCGAUGGGAAGCAGGUUAUAUUCCCGUACUUGGUGUUUUUGCGAAGGGGGCUUGAAGAAAACUAUGUUGGCCGGGCGACAGUUGUCCCGGUUUUAAGCGAUGUAGGUAUUGUGUUCGGUAAAAUCCGGUUCCCCGCACAACACUGAGGCGCGUGACGACGGCGAGGCACUACGGUGCUGAAGCAGCAAUGCCCUGCUUCCGAGGAAAGCCUCUAAGCAUCAGGUAACAUCAAAUCGUACCCCAAACCGACACAGGUGGUCAGGUAGAAAUACCAAGGCGCGAGAGAACUCAGGUGAAGGAACUAGGCAAAAAUGGUGCCGUAACUUCGGGAAAGAGCACGCGCUGACACGUAGGUGGUGAUUUACUCACGGAGCUGAAGUCAGUCGAAAGAUACCAGCUGGCUGCAACUGUUUAUUAAAACACAGCACUGUGCAAACGCACGAAAGUGGACGUAUACGGUGUGACGCCUGCCCGGUGCCCGAAGGUUGGUAUUUGAUAGAGGUCAGCGCAAGCGAAGCUCCCUGAUCGAAGCCCCGGUAAACGGCGGCCCGUAACUAUAACGGUCUAAGGUAGCGAAAUUCCUUGUCAGGUAAGUUCAAACCUGCACGAAUAAUGUAAUGAUGGCGGGCUGUCUCCGCAGACUCAGUGAAGUGAACUCGCUGUGAAGAUGCAGCAGUGAUGUACCCGCGGCAAGGCAGGCCCGUGAACCUUUACUAUAGCUUAACUGAACAUUGAGCCUUGAUGUGUAGGAUAGGUGGGAGAGAAGCUUUUGAAGUGGACGCCAGAAUGCAUGGAGCUUCCCUUUAAUGUUUGAUGUUCUAACGUGGACCCGUAAUCCAGGUUGCGGGCAGUGUCUGGAGUGGGUAGUUUGGCUGGGGCGGUCUCCUCUAAGAAGUAACGGAGGAGCACGGGUUGGCUAAUCACAGUCCGGACAUCAGGAGGUUAGUGCAAUGGCAUAGCCAGCUUGACUGCGAAGCGAGCGCGACGGCGCGAAAGCAGGUGCGAAAGCAGGUCAUAGUGAUCCGGUGGUUCUGAAUGGAAGGGCCAUCGCUCAACGGAUAAAAGGUACCCGGGGAUAACAGGCCGAUACCGCCCGUUAUUCAUAUAUAUCGACGGCGGUGUUUGGCACCUCGAUGUCGGCUCAUCACAUCCUGGGCUGAAGUAGGUCCUGGCGGUAUGGCUGUUCGCCAUUUAAAGUGGUACGCGAGCUGGCUUAGAACGUCGUGAGACAGUUCGGUCCCCAUUCGCCGCGCGCUGAGAACUGAGGGGCUGUUCCUAGCAAUGAGAGUGACCGAGUGGACGCAUCACUGGUGUUCGUUGUCAUGCCAAUGGCACUGCCCGGUAAAGCAAAUGCGAAGAGAUAAGUGCUGAAAGCAUCUAAGCACGAAACUUGCCCCGAGAUGGCUCCCUCCUGAGACUUUAGGUCUCCUGAAGGAACGUUGAAAGUACACGACGUUGGAUAGGCCGGGUGUGUAAGCGCAGCGAUGUGUUGAGCUAACCGGCACUACGAACCGUGAGGCUUAAACCUA